UGACCGCUGGCGGCGUGCCUAAUACAUGCAAGUCGAGCGAACAGACGAGGAGCUUGCUCCUCUGACGUUAGCGGCGGACGGGUGAGUAACACGUGGAUAACCUACCUAUAAGACUGGGAUAACUUCGGGAAACCGGAGCUAAUACCGGAUAAUAUAUUGAACCGCAUGGUUCAAUAGUGAAAGACGGUUUUGCUGUCACUUAUAGAUGGAUCCGCGCCGCAUUAGCUAGUUGGUAAGGUAACGGCUUACCAAGGCAACGAUGCGUAGCCGACCUGAGAGGGUGAUCGGCCACACUGGAACUGAGACACGGUCCAGACUCCUACGGGAGGCAGCAGUAGGGAAUCUUCCGCAAUGGGCGAAAGCCUGACGGAGCAACGCCGCGUGAGUGAUGAAGGUCUUCGGAUCGUAAAACUCUGUUAUUAGGGAAGAACAAAUGUGUAAGUAACUAUGCACGUCUUGACGGUACCUAAUCAGAAAGCCACAGCUAACUACGUG
RNAcentral lists this ribosomal RNA (495 nucleotides) under uncultured bacterium. Its description in RNAcentral is "partial 16S ribosomal RNA". It matches the Rfam family "Bacterial small subunit ribosomal RNA", at positions 30 to 507 of the family's 1533-position model. The record is from RNAcentral.